Molecule: ribosomal RNA, 253 nt
Filed under: uncultured bacterium
Lineage: Bacteria
Description: partial 16S ribosomal RNA
Rfam family: Bacterial small subunit ribosomal RNA
Source: RNAcentral
UACGUAGGUGGCAAGCGUUAUCCGGAUUUAUUGGGCGUAAAGGGAACGCAGGCGGUCUUUUAAGUCUGAUGUGAAAGCCUUCGGCUUAACCGGAGCAGUGCAUUGAAAACUGGGAGACUUGAGUGCAGAAGAGGAGAGUGGAACUCCAUGUGUAGCGGUGAAAUGCGUAGAUAUAUGGAAGAACACCAGUGGCGAAAGCGGCUCUCUGGUCUGUAACUGACGCUGAGGUUCGAAAGCGUGGGUAGCAAACAGG